This 292-nucleotide ribosomal RNA is filed under the name Clostridioides difficile. RNAcentral's name for it is "partial 16S ribosomal RNA". It matches the Rfam family "Bacterial small subunit ribosomal RNA", at positions 517 to 809 of the family's 1533-position model. Lineage: Bacteria; Bacillati; Bacillota; Clostridia; Peptostreptococcales; Peptostreptococcaceae. The record is from RNAcentral.
GCGGUAAUACGUAGGGGGCUAGCGUUAUCCGGAUUUACUGGGCGUAAAGGGUGCGUAGGCGGUCUUUCAAGUCAGGAGUGAAAGGCUACGGCUCAACCGUAGUAAGCUCUUGAAACUGGGAGACUUGAGUGCAGGCGAGGAGAGUGGAAUUCCUAGUGUAGCGGUGAAAUGCGUAGAUAUUAGGAGGAACACCAGUUGCGAAGGCGGCUCUCUGGACUGUAACUGACGCUGAGGCACGAAAGCGUGGGGAGCAAACAGGAUUAGAUACCCUGGUAGUCCACGCUGUAAACGA